RNAcentral lists this small RNA (256 nucleotides) under Bacillus sp. AG442. RNAcentral describes it as "BsrG". It matches the Rfam family "BsrG". From Rfam's summary of the family: bsrE, bsrG and bsrH pair through intermolecular interactions with antisense sRNAs. Lineage: Bacteria; Bacillati; Bacillota; Bacilli; Caryophanales; Bacillaceae. The record is from RNAcentral.
UACAUAUAAGCUUUGCUCACUCAAGGGAAGUCUUGCUCACCCUCAUUGGAAGGGGGUGAUGCAUAUGACAACAUUUGAAACAAUCUCAUUAAUGAUUGCUUUUGGCAUGUUAAUUGCCGUGUUGUCAAAGAAAGAAAAAUAGACCUCCCUUGAGCCUCUAAACUUAAAGGGAUAGGUCUAUCAUCAAGAUCCUAUGAGCAAGCCCCUUGGUGGGCUGCUUUUUGUACAACGACUCGACUGUUAGCCGCAGUCGGGU